RNAcentral lists this ribosomal RNA (433 nucleotides) under uncultured bacterium. RNAcentral describes it as "bacterial SSU rRNA". It matches the Rfam family "Bacterial small subunit ribosomal RNA", at positions 335 to 755 of the family's 1533-position model. The record is from RNAcentral.
ACUCCUACGGGAGGCAGCAGUGGGGAAUAUUGCACAAUGGGCGCAAGCCUGAUGCAGCCAUGCCGCGUGUAUGAAGAAGGCCUUCGGGUUGUAAAGUACUUUCAGCAGUGAGGAAGGCGGGUACGUUAAUAGCGUGCUUGUUUGACGUUAGCUGCAGAAGAAGCACCGGCUAACUCCGUGCCAGCAGCCGCGGUAAUACGGAGGGUGCGAGCGUUAAUCGGAAUUACUGGGCGUAAAGCGCAUGCAGGUGGUUUGUUAAGUCAGAUGUGAAAGCCCGGGGCUCAACCUCGGAAUUGCAUUUGAAACUGGCAGACUAGAGUACUGUAGGAGGGGGGUAGAAUUUGAGGUGUAGCGGUGAAAUGCGUAGAGAUGUAGAAGGAAGUACCGGUGGCGAAGGCCGGCCCCGUGGACAGAUACUGACACUCAGAUGACG